GAGGGUAUAGCUCAGUGGUAGAGUGCGUGCUUAGCAUGCACAAGGUCCUGGGUUCAAUCCUCAAUACUUCCC
Molecule: transfer RNA, 72 nt
Filed under: Camelus bactrianus (Bactrian camel)
Lineage: Eukaryota; Metazoa; Chordata; Mammalia; Artiodactyla; Camelidae
Also listed under: 2 other names
Rfam family: tRNA
About the family: Transfer RNA (tRNA) molecules are approximately 80 nucleotides in length. Their secondary structure includes four short double-helical elements and three loops (D, anti-codon, and T loops). Further hydrogen bonds mediate the characteristic L-shaped molecular structure. tRNAs have two regions of fundamental functional importance: the anti-codon, which is responsible for specific mRNA codon recognition, and the 3' end, to which the tRNAs corresponding amino acid is attached (by aminoacyl-tRNA synthetases). tRNAs cope with the degeneracy of the genetic code in two manners: having more than one tRNA (with a specific anti-codon) for a particular amino acid; and 'wobble' base-pairing, i.e. permitting non-standard base-pairing at the 3rd anti-codon position.
Source: Rfam by way of RNAcentral